UGGGGAAUUUUGGACAAUGGGCGAAAGCCUGAUCCAGCAAUGCCGCGUGUGUGAAGAAGGCCUUCGGGUUGUAAAGCACUUUUGUCCGGAAAGAAAUCCUUGGCUCUAAUACAGUCGGGGGAUGACGGUACCGGAAGAAUAAGCACCGGCUAACUACGUGCCAGCAGCCGCGGUAAUACGUAGGGUGCAAGCGUUAAUCGGAAUUACUGGGCGUAAAGCGUGCGCAGGCGGUUUGCUAAGACCGAUGUGAAAUCCCCGGGCUCAACCUGGGAACUGCAUUGGUGGCUGGCAGGCUAGAGUAUGGCAGAGGGGGGUAGAAUUCCACGUGUAGCAGUGAAAUGCGUAGAGAUGUGGAGGAAUACCGAUGGCGAAGGCAGCCCCUGGGCCAAUACUGACGCUCAUGCACGAAAGCGUGGGGAGCAAACAGGAUUAGAUACCCUGGUAGUCCACGCCCUAAACGAUGUCAACUAGUUGUGGGGAUUCAUUUCCUAGUAACGUAGCUAACGCGUGAAGUUGACCGCCUGGGGAGUACGGUCG
RNAcentral lists this ribosomal RNA (537 nucleotides) under uncultured bacterium. RNAcentral describes it as "partial 16S ribosomal RNA". It matches the Rfam family "Bacterial small subunit ribosomal RNA", at positions 355 to 888 of the family's 1533-position model. The record is from RNAcentral.